RNAcentral lists this ribosomal RNA (484 nucleotides) under uncultured bacterium. RNAcentral describes it as "partial 16S ribosomal RNA". It matches the Rfam family "Bacterial small subunit ribosomal RNA", at positions 30 to 507 of the family's 1533-position model. The record is from RNAcentral.
AUUGAACGCUGGCGGCAGGCCUAACACAUGCAAGUCGAGCGGAUGAAGGGAGCUUGCUCCUGGAUUCCGCGGCGGACGGGUGAGUAAUGCCUAGGAAUCUGCCUGGUAGUGGGGGAUAACGUCCGGAAACGGGCGCUAAUACCGCAUACGUCCUGAGGGAGAAAGUGGGGGAUCUUCGGACCUCACGCUAUCAGAUGAGCCUAGGUCGGAUUAGCUAGUUGGUGGGGUAAAGGCCUACCAAGGCGACGAUCCGUAACUGGUCUGAGAGGAUGAUCAGUCACACUGGAACUGAGACACGGUCCAGACUCCUACGGGAGGCAGCAGUGGGGAAUAUUGGACAAUGGGCGAAAGCCUGAUCCAGCCAUGCCGCGUGUGUGAAGAAGGUCUUCGGAUUGUAAAGCACUUUAAGUUGGGAGGAAGGGCAGUGAGUUAAUACCUUGCUGUUUUGACGUUACCAACAGAAUAAGCACCGGCUAACUUCGUG